Molecule: unclassified non-coding RNA, 313 nt
Filed under: plant metagenome
Description: partial contains 5.8S ribosomal RNA, internal transcribed spacer 2, and large subunit ribosomal RNA
Rfam family: 5.8S ribosomal RNA (bases 1-105)
Source: RNAcentral
GAAAUGCGAUAAGUAGUGUGAAUUGCAGAAUUCAGUGAAUCAUCGAAUCUUUGAACGCACAUUGCGCCCUCUGGCAUUCCGGGGGGCAUGCCUGUCCGAGCGUCAUUACGCACCCUCAAGCCCGGCUUGUGUGAUGGGCCCCGGCGUCUCGUUCGCGAGACGGGCCCGAAAGGCAGCGGCGGCGUCGACCCGAUGAGCCCGAGCGUAUGGGGACUUCUGUCACACGUUCGCGGUGCGGACCGGCGCCUGCUUUGACUUUUCUGAUUAUCCAGGUUGACCUCGGAUCAGGUAGGGAUACCCGCUGAACUUAAGC